CAGCAACGCCGCGUGAGUGAUGAAGGCCUUCGGGUCGUAAAACUCUGUCCUCAAGGAAGAUAAUGACGGUACUUGAGGAGGAAGCCCCGGCUAACUACGUGCCAGCAGCCGCGGGAAUACGUAGGGGGCUAGCGUUAUCCGGAUUUACUGGGCGUAAAGGGUGCGUAGGCGGGCUUUCAAGUCAGGAGUGAAAGGCUACGGCUCAACCGUAGUAAGCUCUUGAAACUGGGAGACUUGAGUGC
RNAcentral lists this ribosomal RNA (242 nucleotides) under Clostridioides difficile. Its description in RNAcentral is "partial 16S ribosomal RNA". It matches the Rfam family "Bacterial small subunit ribosomal RNA", at positions 389 to 649 of the family's 1533-position model. The record is from RNAcentral. Lineage: Bacteria; Bacillati; Bacillota; Clostridia; Peptostreptococcales; Peptostreptococcaceae.